GACUAGAACCCAGGUGCAGCACAUUGUCUGUGCUUGCUCUUUCCUGUGUGGCUGUUCAGUGUUCCCGGAAGGAAGCAUGAGCUGGUGUGGACUUCCAGGGGCCUGGAGGCUGAGAUACCAGAGCGGUUCAACCUUCUGCCCCCUGGUGAAUACUGUUGCUAUGACCAUUGUUUUGCUGGUGUGGUGGCUGAUGUCUGCUAUCUUAGCACCUGGGAGGUUAUAGGAGGAGGAUCAGAAAUUCAAGGCCAGUAUUAACUACACAGAAUUCCAGGUACGCCAGGCUCUCUCAGGAGACGGAGGCAGGAGGCAGAGUUUGAGGCCAGCCUGGUCUACAAAGUGAGUUCCAGGAUAGCCAGGACUAAGUGAAGGGACCUUGUCUCAAAACAUACAAAUAAAGAGAUAAAUGUUUCAUGUGA
Psammomys obesus (fat sand rat) is the source of this 416-nucleotide long non-coding RNA. RefSeq lists it as uncharacterized. The record is from RefSeq and is a predicted model, not a curated record. Lineage: Eukaryota; Metazoa; Chordata; Mammalia; Rodentia; Muridae. The transcript is spliced from 2 exons.